This 278-nucleotide small nuclear RNA is filed under the name Erinaceus europaeus (western European hedgehog). RNAcentral describes it as "7SK RNA". It matches the Rfam family "7SK RNA". Rfam says of the family: 7SK was discovered as an abundant small nuclear RNA in the mid-70s but a possible function has only recently been suggested. The record is from Rfam by way of RNAcentral. Lineage: Eukaryota; Metazoa; Chordata; Mammalia; Eulipotyphla; Erinaceidae.
GUAUGUGAGGGCAAUCUGGCUGUGACAUCUGUCACCCCAUUGAUCGCCAGGGUUUAUUCAGCUGAUCUGGCUGGCUAGGCAGGUGUCCUUUCCUCCCUCACUGCUCCAUGUGUGUCCCUCCCAAGCUGCAUGCUUGGUCAAAGAGGAGUGCCUUUCCCAAAUAGGGACAGACCAGUCUUUGGUUGAGGUUAUAUGAGUAGCUGUGCUCCCCUGCUAGAACCUACAGACAAACUUUUUUUUUUAAAGAUUUUUAAAAAUAUUUAUUUAUUUAUUCCUUU